RNAcentral lists this ribosomal RNA (425 nucleotides) under uncultured bacterium. Its description in RNAcentral is "bacterial SSU rRNA". It matches the Rfam family "Bacterial small subunit ribosomal RNA", at positions 354 to 796 of the family's 1533-position model. The record is from RNAcentral.
GUGGGGAAUAUUGGGCAAUGGGCGCAAGCCUGACCCAGCAACGCCGCGUGAAGGAAGAAGGCUUUCGGGUUGUAAACUUCUUUUAUAAGGGACGAUAAUGACGGUACCUUAUGAAUAAGCUCCGGCUAACUACGUGCCAGCAGCCGCGGUAAUACGUAGGGAGCAAGCGUUAUCCGGAUUUACUGGGUGUAAAGGGCGUGUAGGCGGGAAAGCAAGUCAGAUGUGAAAACUAUGGGCUCAACCCAUAGCCUGCAUUUGAAACUGUUUUUCUUGAGUGUUGGAGAGGCAGGCGGAAUUCCGUGUGUAGCGGUGAAAUGCGUAGAUAUACGGAGGAACACCAGUGGCGAAGGCGGCCUGCUGGACAAUAACUGACGCUGAGGCGCGAAAGCGUGGGGAGCAAACAGGAUUAGAAACCCUAGUAGUCC